This 880-nucleotide ribosomal RNA is filed under the name uncultured bacterium. RNAcentral's name for it is "bacterial SSU rRNA". It matches the Rfam family "Bacterial small subunit ribosomal RNA", at positions 118 to 996 of the family's 1533-position model. The record is from RNAcentral.
UCGGAACGUGCCCUAGAGUGGGGGAUAACGUAGCGAAAGUUACGCUAAUACCGCAUACGAUCUACGGAGGAAAGCGGGGGACCGUAAGGCCUCGCGCGAUUAGAGCGGCCGAUAUCUGAUUAGCUUGUUGGUGGGGUAAAAGCCCACCAAGGCGACGAUCAGUAGCUGGUCUGAGAGGACGAUCAGCCACACUGGGACUGAGACACGGCCCAGACUCCUACGGGAGGCAGCAGUGGGGAAUUUUGGACAAUGGGGGCAACCCUGAUCCAGCAAUGCCGCGUGAGUGAAGAAGGCCUUCGGGUUGUAAAGCUCUUUUGUCAGGGAAGAAACAGCAGCUCUAACACAGUCUGCGAAUGACGGUACCUGAAGAAUAAGCACCGGCUAACUACGUGCCAGCAGCCGCGGUAAUACGUAGGGUGCAAGCGUUAAUCGGAAUUACUGGGCGUAAAGCGUGCGCAGGCGGUUAUACAAGACAGGCGUGAAAUCCCCGGGCUUAACCUGGGAAUGGCGUCUGUGACUGUAUGACUAGAGUGUGUCAGAGGGUGGUAGAAUUCCACGUGUAGCAGUGAAAUGCGUAGAUAUGUGGAGGAAUACCAAUGGCGAAGGCAGCCCCCUGGGAUAACACUGACGCUCAUGCACGAAAGCGUGGGGAGCAAACAGGAUUAGAUACCCUGGUAGUCCACGCCCUAAACGAUGCCGACUAGUUGUUGGGAAUUUACAUUCUCAGUGACGUAGCUAACGCGUGAAGUCGGCCGCCUGGGGAGUACGGUCGCAAGAUUAAAACUCAAAGGAAUUGACGGGGACCCGCACAAGCGGUGGAUGAUGUGGAUUAAUUCGAUGCAACGCGAAAAACCUUACCUACCCUUGACAUGUCACUAAC